RNAcentral lists this ribosomal RNA (471 nucleotides) under uncultured bacterium. Its description in RNAcentral is "partial 16S ribosomal RNA". It matches the Rfam family "Bacterial small subunit ribosomal RNA", at positions 28 to 507 of the family's 1533-position model. The record is from RNAcentral.
GACGAACGCUGGCGGCGUGCUUAACACAUGCAAGUCGAACGAUGAAGCGGUGCUUGCACCGUGGAUUAGUGGCGAACGGGUGAGUAAUACGUGAGUGACCUACCUUUGACUCUGGGAUAAGCCUGGGAAACUGGGUCUAAUACCGGAUACGACCAAUCUCUGCAUGGGGUGUUGGUGGAAAGCGUUAUGGAGUGGUUUUAGAUGGGCUCACGGCCUAUCAGCUUGUUGGUGAGGUAAUGGCUUACCAAGGCGACGACGGGUAGCCGGCCUGAGAGGGUGACCGGCCACACUGGGACUGAGACACGGCCCAGACUCCUACGGGAGGCAGCAGUGGGGAAUAUUGCACAAUGGGCGCAAGCCUGAUGCAGCGACGCCGCGUGAGGGAUGACGGCCUUCGGGUCGUAAACCUCUGUUAGCAUCGAAGAAGCGAAAGUGACGGUAGGUGCAGAGAAAGCGCCGGCUAACUACGUG